GCUGGUGUGGAGAGGCAGGGGCCGCCCAUGGAGGCUGUUUGGGACGUCACAGGGCUUGCACACACUUGUCCCACGGGCUCCUGGCUGUGAAGUUUGGAAUCCAAGUUUGGGCCCCAUUUGUUUUUGGCAAAGAGACGACGGUCCUGUUAAUAGUUUCCACUUGAAGACAUCGCCUCUCGUCCUUCCAAGCUGGGAGCACGCAAGCCCACAGUGGGAGGGUGGGGCAGCCGGAACUCACAACCCACCACCGCCGGGUUGCGGCGUCCACUGAGGCGCUGUCCUCCUGGAGAAAAGAAUGGAGACAUGGUGGGGACUGUCCUGUCUCGUCUUCCUGUGUUUUCUGCUGCAUGUGCAAGGUCAGCGAGAAUUUGACCUGGCCGACGCCCUUGAUGACCCUGAACCCACCAAGAAGCCAACCUCAGAUAUCUACCCCAAACCACCUUACCAUCCACAGCCCGGACAUCCAGACAGCGGUGGAAAUAUCUACCCAAAGCCAAAACCACCUUACCACCCACAGCCGGGACAUCCAGACAGCGGUGGAAAUAUCUACCCCAAGCCAAAGCCACCCCUUUACCCGCAGCCUGGGGAUUCCGGCCACCACGGUGGAGGUUACCUGAAUGAUGUGGACCGUGAUGACGGACGCUACCCACCCAGGCCCCGGCCCAGGCCACCUGCAGGAGGAGGUGGUGGCGGAGGUGGCGGAGGUUACCCCAGUUACGACAGCUCCGGCAGCACGUAUGGAAGAGGGGGCGUCUCUCGACCCAACCCUCCUUACAGAAAAACUUAUGGUGGAGACGACCAUUCAACUUACGGCAACCCACAAGGUAACACGGUAGCAAAAAUUGUAUCCCCUAUCGUGUCUGUGGUGGUGGUGACCUUGGUGGGGGCAGCGGCCACCUAUUUAAACAAGAGGAGAAAUUGCUUCCGGAAUAGUGAGCCAGUGAAUGUCUGAAGACAUCCGGAUGCUUUGAUCACUUUGAGAAAAACUGAAUCAAGACAAGUACCCUGUGUAUUCUUGGUAUCAUCUGAUGACUUGGCAUCAUCUGCAUGUUCUGUUCUGUGUUUACCAUGGCUGCGGCCUCCGAAGGAACCCCCAGUUUGUUGCAUGUGGUGUGGUGAAUAGAUUGCUUCAUCUAUCAUUUCUGUCACACCUGCGCACCAAGAAGGUCCAGCUUUCUGUUCUGAGAGCUUCAACUACCUCACGGUGCAAAGAACACACUCAUGUGUGUUGCAAAGCACGAUUGCAACAGGUGGGAGAAGGGGUGUUAUCAAAUUCUGGGAGAUGACGAUUUUUGAGAUUUUGCAGAAGGUGUGGUCAGAAGCUUGCCCUGUGCUACAUUUCUCAGAGAUGUCAAAAAUUAUGAAGCGUAGAAGUCAAAAGCUACUGCGUGAUGACCACUGCAAAUGAAGUGGGAAUGAAUUAUUCCCAAUGCUCACAGUAGGGUCUCAUUGUCUAUUCAACUUUGGUGUGUCUGCACAAAAAAUUAUUAUUACCCACAAAAAAUAAGCCCGGAUUUUAAAACUUUUAGUGCAAAAUUAUGAAUGUUAAAACCAUCCAGGGGAAAUCAGUCUCGGGCUACUUUCUCCUAGGAAAUCUUGUAUUUUUGAUAUGUUUUGGAGAAUAGGAGACAGAAAUGGUGAUUUUUCAGAUGUUGAGACCUGUCACAGUAAUUUUAGUCUUUGAUACUCUUUAGGCACCGGUUCUUACGGCAACGGCUUUUCUUUACUGAAUGUAUGCUUUUUCUACUCACCAAAGAAAAUCUUAAAUCCUUAGACAUCUAAAAAAGUAUACUAGCUAUUUGCUUGUGUUUUAGAAAUACUUCUGGGGAGAGGAAAAAGGAUGCUUUGGGCAUAUUGGUAUAAGUUGAUUAAACUAAGGUUAAUGUUUAUAUAACUUUUAGACUUUGGCUUAAAUAUCUGAACCAAAGAUGACAUUCAUCACAAUCUGGAUCCGAUAUAAAGAACCCAUAAAAAUCCUAAAUAUGCACACUUUGUGCUCACCUUUAUAAACUGGGGUCUCUAAAGAGGGAAAAUGAAAUUAGAAAACAUUUGAAAGAGUAACACAUUUUUAAAAAAAUAACUUAAAACUAAUAUUCCAGAUUUAGAUAUGUGAGAAUUGCAUGUCUCAUCUCAUGGAUUUUCCUAUACUAUGUAGGUUAAUUUGGAGACUGCAUUUUCUAGUUGAAUGUUUGUCCUAUCACACUUUCCAAUUCUUGUAAGAGGUUUGCUAGGAGUGGUGAUUCCUAAUGCCCAGCUACCAUUUUUUAUAUAGGCAGUUCAGUCUGAGCUUAAUUAAGUUCUUGUUAAAAAGCAUGUGUAUUUGUAUAUACAGACACACACUCAUACACAUAUACAUAUUCAUGCAUACCUACAUAGACUCUAAUCAUUUUUUUAAUUGUUUAACCCAGCCCAAUUUCUGAAACUUUCCAUCAUUUAAAAUAAAUAUAAAACAGAAAAGUGGUUUUGAUUGUUGUAGCAUCCAUCCAAUAUUUCAGGUACUAAAUAUAAAAUUUUAUGAAUGGCUCCGCGCCUGUGGCUCAAGCGGCGAAGGCACCAGCCACAUACACCUGAGCUGGCAGAUUCAAAUCCAGCCUGGGCUUGCCAAACAACGACAGCUGCAACCAAAAAAUAGCUGGGCAUUAUAGCGGGUGCCUGUAGUCCCAGCUACUUUGGUAGUGGAGGCAGGAGAAUCGCUUGAGCCCAGGAGUUGGAGGUUAUUGCGAGCUAUGAAGCCACGGCACUCUACCCAGGGCGACAGCUUGAGGCUCUGUCUCAAAAAUAAAUAAAUAAAUAAAAUAGAAUUUUAUGAAAUGGUGGUAGUAAGUGGCCCCCAAAUCAUGAAGCUAUGUAGGUUUGUGUAUUAUCCAAUAAAUCCCUUUCUACACUCAAGAUGGCUAACGAACGUGGAAAACAGAUAUAGUUACAAGAUUAUGAGAUAAACUCACCCGGAUGACAGGAGGCAAGGAAAUUUAAUAUUCAACCUGCUUAAAAUAAAAAUAUUUGAAAUAGGGCAGCACCUGUGGCUCAGUGGGCAGGGUGCCGGCCCCAUAUACCGAGGGCGGCGGGUUCAAACCUGGCCUCAAUGGAACUGCAACAACAACAAAAAAUAUAUAUUUGAAAUAAUCAUCUCUUGGGGAACCUCUCUUUAGGCGGUCACCUCCAAGGCAUUCUGAUGCUGAUGAGAAAAAUAGUGAUAAAAUGCAAAAUCUUCAUGCAUUUGAAUGAAGGAAAUGCUACCCUAUUUCCCCAAAAAUAAGACAGUGUCUUAUUUUAAGGUGUGCUCCCAAAGAUGCACUAGAUCUUAUUUUCAGGGGACAUCUUAUCUUUCCUGUAAGUAGGUUUUAUUUUCGGGAAAACGGGGUAGCUUUGAAUGUGUAGUUACCUUUGAACAACGUGGAUGUGAAUUAAGUAGGUCCACUUAUACAAGGAUUUUCUUCUACGUUGCCACACCUGAGGCAGCAAGACCCACCCAUCUACUUCUUUCUCUCCCUUAGCCUAAUCAGCAUGAAGAUGAUGACCUUUAUGAACAUCCACUUCCACUUAAUGAAUAGUACAUAUAUUUUCUCUUCCUUAUGAGGUUUUUAAUAACAUUUUCUUCUCUCUAGCUUACUAUAUUGUGAGAAUUUAGUACCUAUUCUUACAUAGAUAACACAUACAAAACAUGUGUUAAUCAUUAGUUUAUGUUAUCAGUAAGGCUUCCACUCAACAGUAAGCUAUGAAUAGUUAAGAUUGGGGUAGGGGGAGGAGUCAAAACCUGUGGAUUUUGACCAGGGUUGGGGGAGAUGAGUGUUCCUAAACCCCACGUUGAUCAUGGUGGAUCAACUAACUACACAAAGUUCACACUCAGCUCCUCUUUGUGGGAACUUGAAUACACCUUGUGGUCAAUGGAUGGACAUCUUCAUGUUGGAAUGGGGAAAAUCCAUGACUGUAAUUUCAGAACUGUGAGGGAGGAGAUGCCAACUGUGGGGGCUAUAUUUUCAUUUCUGCUUUCCUGCAUGGGCAUAAAAAGAACAACUUUAUUUAUUGCCCAAGCAUAAGCCACUGUGUUCAAGAUAUCUCGGUUGUUGGAGAUGGUUAGCCUGCUUCACCUUUGACACCUGAAACUGGAAGAUUGAAUUACACACACACACACACACACACACACUAUUAAUAUGUUGUAUACUGCUGUGAGUUGAAUUACAUCCCUUCAAAUCCAUUACGUUGAAGUCUUAACAUCCAGUACUUCAGAAUGUGACCUUAUAUGGAAAUGGGUCAUUGCAGUUGUAAUUACACUCAGGUCACACUGGAGUCAAGUGGGCCCCUAAUCUAAUAUGCCUGGGGUCCUUAUAAGAAGCGGGUAUUUGAAUACAGAUGGGGUCACGAGGAGAAUGUCAUGGGAUUAUUGGAAUGCUACUUCCACAAGCCAAGGGACUGACUAGCCAAAGAAAAAGAGAACGUUUAGACAGACCCUUCCCUAAGCCUUCAGAGGGAGCAGGUCACUGCCCCCACCUGGGUUUUGGACCUGCACUCCCCAGAACUGUGAAACAAUAAAUAGAUUUCUGUUGUUUAGCCAACGAGUUUGUGGUACUUUGCCACAGAAACCCCAGGAAACUAAUAUUAAUAUACACAUUAAUACAUGCUGGGUACAUGUUUUUUCCUAAUUUGAAAGAAGUAGUGGGGGACUUUGUUUAGCUUUCUCUUAGAGGUAGUAGGCAAGAUCAGUCAUAAUUACACUCUGGACUCUAAUGCCCAAUUCCUGCUUCUCUAUUUUAAGCUGUAGAACCUCAGAUAUUUUACACAUGCUCUCCAGGCCAUGAUUAUGUCAUUUAGGGAAAAAAUAAAAGAUGGAUAUCAUAAGAGAAUCUGCCUCUCUGAUCCUCUGAACUCUGUCAAGGAUACAUGAGUUAACAUGAAAGAAGCAUUCCAACUAGUGCCUGGUAAGUACUUAUAGGCUCCAUCAGGGCUGGGAAAACAUAAAAUAAAAUAAGCAUUUCUCUUAAAGUGCAUAAAAUCAAGCUCAUGGAAAAACACUUGGCAUUUCUCAGAAUAGGCUCAGAAGUCAAGACCAUGAAAUCAAAACAGCAGAAGCUAAUGAAAAGCAUGGAGAAUGCAGGUUGUCUGUCCAAAGCCCUUCAUUCUGUCUUAGUAACUUCAAUAGUGCUAUAUCUGGUCCAUGUAGUUCCCAGCUGAACUACAAUUCCCAGCCUCCCUUGCAGCAGGUGAAGUCACGUGACUGAGCUCUGGCCAAUGGGGAGCCAGCUCCAUUUCUGAAGCUGCAUGACCCUUUAAUUACUGAGCAGAAAAAUCACCUUCUAGUACGAGAAGAACCAGGGUGAUUCUGUCUUGCUUUCAAGGAGCAAAUGCUCUAUCCAGAUCCAGUUAGUAUGAUGUACGGAUCCUUGUCCUAUGAUCUUUGCAUGCAUGAGAAGGAAAAAAAAAACACAACAAUGAAGAAACAUUUAAAUUUAAAAUUUUGAGGGAGGAGGGAUUGGGUUAUGCACAGAAUUCCAGGGAGCCCUCAGAAAGCUUCUGCACCCACCUGCCCCUUUAUUUGAUUAUCAGGCACAUAAAGAUGCUUCUUCAAAUUUUUAAUUCAAAUUCCUCCUCAAUUUUUUUCUUCUGACACAGACGUUUUCAUAAGUUAUCUAAGUCCUCUUAAGCUAUCUCAUCAACACCCCCAGAAAUCAUGAGCUUUGUCGUCUCAAGAUCAUUGCAAAAACUCAAGAGUUUUCUCUAAUUUUCGUGGAAGAAUUUUGGCUUGAAUUUCAGUAGGCAUCAGCUUCUGCACGUACAUGGAAAAUCUUUCCUUUUCAUCUGCUUUGGAAAGGGUCUCUCAUUCCUCCCACACCCCUAUGGCAAAUUCACUUUAAAGUUAAUAUUUGCUGGACACUUAUUAUAUUGGAGGGGGAUUUGAUUUACUGACAUCUUUAUGUUUUUGCCAAUAGUUUGGAAUUCAACUUGUAAGCUGCGUGGCUUGUUUGCUUUUUUUCUGACUGCAAUAAAACUUGUUCAUUUUGAGAGUUUUCAUGUAAUCUCUGUGUGCAUCUGUUAUUUUAUCCUCUUGAGU
Molecule: RNA transcript, 6046 nt
Organism: Nycticebus coucang (slow loris)
Lineage: Eukaryota; Metazoa; Chordata; Mammalia; Primates; Lorisidae
Gene: XG
Gene name: Xg glycoprotein (Xg blood group)
Exons: 13
Source: RefSeq, a predicted model, not a curated record